Molecule: ribosomal RNA, 497 nt
Filed under: uncultured bacterium
Lineage: Bacteria
Description: partial 16S ribosomal RNA
Rfam family: Bacterial small subunit ribosomal RNA
Source: RNAcentral
GAUGAACGCUGGCGGCGUGCCUAAUACAUGCAAGUCGAGCGAACAGACGAGGAGCUUGCUCCUCUGACGUUAGCGGCGGACGGGUGAGUAACACGUGGAUAACCUACCUAUCAGACUGGGAUAACUUCGGGAAACCGGAGCUAAUACCGGAUAAUAUAUUGAACCGCAUGGUUCAAUAGUGAAAGACGGUUUUGCUGUCACUUAUAGAUGGAUCCGCGCCGCAUUAGCUAGUUGGUAAGGUAACGGCUUACCAAGGCUACGAUGCGUAGCCGACCUGAGAGGGUGAUCGGCCACACUGGAACUGAGACACGGUCAAGACUCCUACGGGAGGCAGCAGUAGGGAAUCUUCCGCAAUGGGCGAAAGCUUGACGGAGCAACGCCGCGUGAGUGAUGAAGGUCUUCGGAUCGUAAAACUCUGUUAUUAGGGAAGAACAAAUGUGUAAGUAACUAUGCACGUCUUGACGGUACCUAAUCAGAAAGCCACGGCUAACUACGUG